This is a non-coding RNA of Alligator sinensis (Chinese alligator), 429 nucleotides long. The record is from the annotation of a RefSeq genome assembly. NCBI's taxonomy places the organism in Eukaryota, Metazoa, Chordata, Crocodylia, Alligatoridae.
GGCCAGUCCCAGCCCCUGUGACCUGUUUCAUCUCGGCCUGCUCCAACUUUCUGGCCCACAGGAAACAUGGGCCUUUUGCUCCUGUCCCUCCUGCUCUUGGCCAGUGCACCAGGGGUCUGCUCCCAGGUUCAGCUGCUCCAGGCCACUGCGGCCCAGGAAAAGCCUUCAGGGACCUUGAGACUCACUUGUGCCGUGUCUGGAUUCUCCCUCACUGCCAGUGGGAACAGAGUGAGCUGGAUCCGGCAACCCCCAGGGAAAGGCCUGGAGUGGCUGUGCCUCAUCUACUGGGAUGAUGACAAGCGCUACCAGGACUCCAUGAAGUCCCGCCUGACCAUCUCCAGGGACACGUCCAAGAGCGAGGUGUAUUUGGAGCUGACAGGACUGGAAGCCAGAGACAGCGGCACCUAUGACUGUGCCGGAGCACAGUGA